Molecule: ribosomal RNA, 301 nt
Filed under: uncultured bacterium
Lineage: Bacteria
Description: partial 16S ribosomal RNA
Rfam family: Bacterial small subunit ribosomal RNA
Source: RNAcentral
CAGCAGCCGCGGGAAUACGUAGGGUGCAAGCGUUAAUCGGAAUUACUGGGCGUAAAGCGUGCGCAGGCGGUUUGUUAAGACAGAUGUGAAAUCCCCGGGCUCAACCUGGGAACUGCAUUUGUGACUGGCAAGCUAGAGUCUGGCAGAGGGGGGUGGAAUUCCGCGUGUAGCAGUGAAAUGCGUAGAUAUGCGGAGGAACACCGAUGGCGAAGGCAGCCCCCUGGGCCAACACUGACGCUCAUGCACGAAAGCGUGGGGAGCAAACAGGAUUAGAUACCCCAGUAGUCCCUGUCUCUUAUAC